GGCAGACGGGUGAGUAACGCGUGGGAAUCUACCCAGUCCUAAGGAAUAACUGAGGGAAACUUCAGCUAAUACCUUAUACGCCCUACGGGGGAAAGAUUUAUCGGGAUUGGAUGAGCCCGCGUUCGAUUAGCUAGUUGGUGGGGUAAUGGCCUACCAAGGCGACGAUCGACUAGCUGGUCUGAGAGGAUGAUCAGCCACACUGGGACUGAGACACGGCCAGACUCCUACGGGAGGCAGCAGUGGGGAAUAUUGGACCAUGGGCGCAAGCCUGAUCCAGCCAUGCCGCGUGAGUGAUGAAGGCCUUAGGGUUGUAAAGACUCUUUCAGUGGGGAACGAUAAUGACGGUACCCACAGAAGAAGGCCC
RNAcentral lists this ribosomal RNA (364 nucleotides) under uncultured bacterium. RNAcentral's name for it is "bacterial SSU rRNA". It matches the Rfam family "Bacterial small subunit ribosomal RNA", at positions 97 to 494 of the family's 1533-position model. The record is from RNAcentral.